RNAcentral lists this long non-coding RNA (199 nucleotides) under Nicotiana benthamiana. Its description in RNAcentral is "long non-coding RNA (NBEN_LNC030085)". Lineage: Eukaryota; Viridiplantae; Streptophyta; Magnoliopsida; Solanales; Solanaceae. The record is from RNAcentral.
UCUGGGGCGGGGAAACAACACACCCAUAGACAUACAUUCUCUGACAAAGCGCCUAAACAUUGCUAUCCUCACAAAGACAUGCAUUAUGUCCCUCAACUCUACGCAGUUACGAAUGCUCAGCCCUUUCCCCGUCCACAACAGAAGAACAAUAGAAAUCAAGCUCCAAGGAAUCAACCCCCUCAUAAUCAUUACAACCGCC